GAAUUCUGCCCUUUUAAAUAGUCACAAUUCACAUCACAUUAAUUCACAUCACAGAUCCAAAUCUGAAGACUGGAUACAGAAAUCCUUUCCAUGUAGCUUCAGAGCAUCUUGCUACAGGAGUGAACAGACCUUUAGGGGACCGAAAGGAUAAGAUAUCCCAGUCCGCAGGGGAUCGUUUUGGGCAUUUUGCAGGCAAAACUAUUUCAGAUCAGCAGCAGCUUGAGAAACCUUCACAUGAUGGAGCCCAGCCGCAAGCCGGAGCUGCUGUACCACUUUCCUUAGGGUGACGAGGUUGGAGCUGGUGGACAUGGCGCAAGGAGCCCUGGUCUGGGGAUGAAGCACCUCCUACUUUCUCACCAUAAAGUGCAAGGGAACAAAACUUCUCUAAACAUGUAUAGUCAAGCCAAACAAAUCCCUACAUUAGUCCUAUCCAAAGAAAAAAAUUUCAGUCUACAUCCCGAGUUCGAAAUCUUAUCUAUCAAGAGACCCAAGUCCCAUCUAACCUUCAAGAUUCAGUUCAAAUGCUACUUCCUUGGUCAACAUUUUCUUGAUAUACACCAUUUGAGGUGAAUUGACCUUUUUACACCUGGGACAAGACCCGCCUAUCACAUCAGGGCAAGCUGCAUGAAAGGAAAAAGUGAGAAAGAUAAACACCCAACUAGUAUUCAACAAAUAAAAUUCUUAGCCACAAAUCCAAAGGGAAGAGUAAAAGCUUUGAUUGGAAGGAGGCCAAAGGCAGGACCAACACGACCACACAAGCAUUCCAUGAAGUUGCUUGGAGAGACGUGAUUUUAAGGGCAACCAUGUGGUGCAGGCAAAGGGCUAGGAGUCAAAGACCCCAACGAUUCUUGCUGUCAGCUGUUCCAGCCUGCAGUGCUGCCAAGUGGUCAAGAGUUCAAUAAAGUCUUCUUAUAUCACUGGGUGGUUUGGCAAUGUGGGCAAACCUAGUAUUAUCACAGCCGUGAAA
Non-coding RNA from Monodelphis domestica (gray short-tailed opossum), 967 nucleotides. Lineage: Eukaryota; Metazoa; Chordata; Mammalia; Didelphimorphia; Didelphidae. The record is from RefSeq and is a predicted model, not a curated record.